This 1418-nucleotide ribosomal RNA is filed under the name Pediococcus pentosaceus. RNAcentral describes it as "partial 23S ribosomal RNA". It matches the Rfam family "Bacterial large subunit ribosomal RNA", at positions 1503 to 2925 of the family's 2925-position model. The record is from RNAcentral. Lineage: Bacteria; Bacillati; Bacillota; Bacilli; Lactobacillales; Lactobacillaceae.
AAAGGGUGUCCAAGCAGUAAGUCUGAAGUAGAGUCAAAUGCUUUACUUCUUAAGGACAAGCUGUGAUGGGGAGCGAAAUUUAAGUAGCGAAGUUCCUGACGUCACACUGCCGAGAAAAGCUUCUAGUUAGAGUUUAGCUACCCGUACCGCAAACCGACACAGGUAGUCGAGGAGAGUAUCCUAAGGUGAGCGAGAGAACUCUCGUUAAGGAACUCGGCAAAAUGACCCCGUAACUUCGGGAGAAGGGGUGCUGAUCGCAAGAUCAGCCGCAGUGAAAAGGCCCAGGCGACUGUUUAUCAAAAACACAGGUUUCUGCAAAAUCGUAAGAUGACGUAUAGGGGCUGACGCCUGCCCGGUGCUGGAAGGUUAAGGGAAUGAGUUAGCGUAAGCGAAGCUCUGAACUGAAGCCCCAGUAAACGGCGGCCGUAACUAUAACGGUCCUAAGGUAGCGAAAUUCCUUGUCGGGUAAGUUCCGACCCGCACGAAAGGCGUAACGAUCUGGGCACUGUCUCAACGAGAGACUCGGUGAAAUUAUAAUACCCGUGAAGAUGCGGGUUACCCGCGACAGGACGGAAAGACCCCAUGGAGCUUUACUGUAACUUGAUAUUGAGUGUUUGUACAGCUUGUACAGGAUAGGUAGGAGCCGUAGAAUCCGGAACGCUAGUUUCGGAGGAGGCAAUGGUGGGAUACUACCCUCGUUGUAUGAACCCUCUAACCCGCGCCACUAAUCGUGGCGGGAGACAGUGUCUGGUGGGCAGUUUGACUGGGGCGGUCGCCUCCUAAAGAGUAACGGAGGCGCCCAAAGGUUCCCUCAGAAUGGUUGGAAAUCAUUCGUAGAGUGUAAAGGCAGAAGGGAGCUUGACUGCGAGACAGACAGGUCGAGCAGGGACGAAAGUCGGGCUUAGUGAUCCGGUGGUACCGUAUGGAAGGGCCAUCGCUCAACGGAUAAAAGCUACCCUGGGGAUAACAGGCUUAUCUCCCCCAAGAGUUCACAUCGACGGGGAGGUUUGGCACCUCGAUGUCGGCUCAUCGCAUCCUGGGGCUGUAGUCGGUCCCAAGGGUUGGGCUGUUCGCCCAUUAAAGCGGUACGCGAGCUGGGUUCAGAACGUCGUGAGACAGUUCGGUCCCUAUCCGUCGCGGGCGUAGGAAAUUUGAGAGGCGCUGUCCUUAGUACGAGAGGACCGGGAUGGACACACCGCUGGUGUACCAGUUGUUCCGCCAGGAGCAUCGCUGGGUAGCUAUGUGUGGAUGAGAUAAACGCUGAAAGCAUCUAAGUGUGAAACUCACCUCGAGAUUAGAUUUCCCAUUGCCUUCGGGCAAGUAAGACCCCUGAAAGAUGAUCAGGUAGAUAGGCUAGAAGUGGAAGUGUAGUGAUACAUGGAGCGGACUAGUACUAAUCGGUCGAGGACUUAACCAAG